GAGUUUGAUCCUGGCUCAGAUUGAACGCUGGCGGCGUGCCUAACACAUGCAAGUCGAGCGGUAACAGGUGUAGCAAUACAUGCUGACGAGCGGCGGACGGGUGAGUAACGCUUGGGAAUCUGCCUGUUAGUGGGGGACAACCCGGGGAAACUCGGGCUAAUACCGCAUACGCACUACGGUGGAAAGCCGGGGACCGCAAGGCCUGGCGCUAACAGAUGAGCCCAAGUCGGAUUAGCUAGUUGGUAGGGUAACGGCCUACCAAGGCGACGAUCCGUAACUGGUCUGAGAGGACGACCAGUCACACCGGAACUGAGACACGGUCCGGACUCCUACGGGAGGCAGCAGCGGGGAAUAUUGGACAAUGGGCGAAAGCCUGAUCCAGCGACGCCGCGUGGGUGANNAAGGCCUGCGGGUUGUANAGCACUUUCAGCAGGGNNGAAAAGCUUGCGGUUAAUACCCGCGAGUCUUGACGUAACCUGAAGAAGAA
Molecule: ribosomal RNA, 487 nt
Filed under: uncultured Gammaproteobacteria bacterium
Lineage: Bacteria; Pseudomonadati; Pseudomonadota; Gammaproteobacteria
Description: bacterial SSU rRNA
Rfam family: Bacterial small subunit ribosomal RNA
Source: RNAcentral